CUUUCGUUCAGUUCGGACGCAGCGAACACCCGAAGACCCACUAACCAGUGAACAUACCUCCACUCCUUUUACGUGGUCCACGAGGCUGCUGACAACGACGUGAAAAUGUAGACGAGACGGAUUUGGUGCGGAGCGCGACAGUUUACCUGCACCCUACGGGGUCGGUGCUUGAACAAUCCGUACGCAACCAUAAUCUGGUCUGAUUAGAGUUCGAAAUUUCCUCACAUUUUGAACAAUUCGAGAAGAGCACUUCGAGAUACAUGAAUUAGUUAAUAUAGCAGACUCGUAGUAUUGAGAUCGAGAACUAAAUCGUCGGCACCAUCCUCUUUAAACCGAAUGUCUACUACCACACAAGGGCACACGGAACGUUGGAAUUGCAAAAUAGAAAAAACAAAUCUACCCAGUCGAAUAGAAUAACAAACAGAAAGUAACAAACAAAUAAUCAAGGUAGAAAAGACAGAGAGGAUCGAUUUUGCUUAGCAACAACUAGCUUUGCGAUA
Long non-coding RNA from Habropoda laboriosa, 500 nucleotides. RefSeq lists it as uncharacterized. Lineage: Eukaryota; Metazoa; Arthropoda; Insecta; Hymenoptera; Apidae. The transcript is spliced from 3 exons. The record is from RefSeq and is a predicted model, not a curated record.